Molecule: ribosomal RNA, 116 nt
Filed under: Pteropus alecto (black flying fox)
Lineage: Eukaryota; Metazoa; Chordata; Mammalia; Chiroptera; Pteropodidae
Source: RNAcentral
GUCUACGGCCAUGCCACCCUGAACAAGCUUGAUGUCUGAUCUUAGAAGCUAAGCAGGGUCGAGCCUGGUUAGUUCUUGGAUGUGGAACCACCUAGGAAGACCAGGUGCUGUAGGCA